This 253-nucleotide ribosomal RNA is filed under the name uncultured bacterium. RNAcentral describes it as "partial 16S ribosomal RNA". It matches the Rfam family "Bacterial small subunit ribosomal RNA", at positions 524 to 776 of the family's 1533-position model. The record is from RNAcentral.
UACGAAGGGGGCUAGCGUUGCUCGGAAUGACUGGGCGUAAAGGGCGCGUAGGCGGAUUGCACAGUCGGGCGUGAAAUUCCUGGGCUUAACCUGGGGGCUGCGUUCGAGACGUGAGGUCUGGAGUGCGGAAGAGGGUCGUGGAAUUCCCAGUGUAGAGGUGAAAUUCGUAGAUAUUCGGAAGAACACCAGUGGCGAAGGCGACACACUGGGCCAUUACUGACGCUGAGGCGCGAAAGCGUGGGGAGCAAACAGG